UACGUAGGGAGCAAGCGUUAUCCGGAUUCAUUGGGCGUAAAGAGCGCGUAGGCGGUUUGUUAAGCGAGGUGUGAAAUCCGGGGGCUCAACCCGCGGCUUGCAUCUCGAACUGGCAGACUUGAGUCUGGUAGAGGAAAGUGGAAUUCCAAGUGUAGCGGUGAAAUGCGCAGAUAUUUGGAGGAACACCAGUGGCGAAGGCGGCUUUCUGGGCCACGACUGACGCUGAGGCGCGAAAGCUAGGGGAGCAAACAGG
This 253-nucleotide ribosomal RNA is filed under the name uncultured bacterium. RNAcentral's name for it is "partial 16S ribosomal RNA". It matches the Rfam family "Bacterial small subunit ribosomal RNA", at positions 524 to 776 of the family's 1533-position model. The record is from RNAcentral.